RNAcentral lists this unclassified non-coding RNA (329 nucleotides) under Methylobacterium symbioticum. RNAcentral describes it as "Methylobacterium sp. SB0023/3 cspA". The record is from RNAcentral. Lineage: Bacteria; Pseudomonadati; Pseudomonadota; Alphaproteobacteria; Hyphomicrobiales; Methylobacteriaceae.
GAGCGCGUGCAAUGCAUGCGCUGGGCUCUCUUCGAUUGCCUACCGAAAUACGGAAAUACCUAUGAGCAUUGGCACCGUUAAGUGGUUCAACGACACCAAGGGCUUCGGCUUCAUCCAGCCUGAGGACGGCAGCAAGGAUGUGUUCGUGCACAUCUCGGCCGUUGAGCGUGCCGGCAUGCGCAACCUCGUUGAGGGCCAGAAGGUCUCCUACGAGAUGGAAACCGACCGCCGCACCGGCAAGCAGUCGGCCGGCAGCCUCCAGGCCGCUUGAGCCCUGCUCGUCAAUCACUGACGCGUUCGGAGCCGCUCCCCAUGGGGCGGCUUCAUCU